This is a long non-coding RNA of Etheostoma spectabile (orangethroat darter), 1583 nucleotides long. RefSeq lists it as uncharacterized. The record is from RefSeq and is a predicted model, not a curated record. The transcript has 3 exons. Lineage: Eukaryota; Metazoa; Chordata; Actinopteri; Perciformes; Percidae.
AUCGCUGCAAUGGAAGCAGGACGCAAAAAAUGAAAGUUACUGUUACACUAGUCUGGACAUCUUGCCAUGCCAACAUUGAAACAAAGGUUGCCUAAAUGCCAUGUGGGCUAUAUACAUUUGCUGUGAGCUUACUAAUUGAUUGCGCGUUUUGUGUAGAUUUGGACUUUAUACAUUUUUUUCCACUUUGUUUAAACUGCAAAGUGAAGAGUCCUCGUUCACCUGUUUAGAGCUGGUUGGUGAAUGUGAUGCAUGUAGAGAUACACCGUGUAGAGAUACACCGUGUAGAGAUACACCAUGUAGAGAUACACCGUGACCAUUUUUGUAGAUCUACUGAUCGCAGUGGAUUACUUUUUUUGUUUCAUUGGAUCAGGUCAAAAUACCGAACAUUUUUCUAAGCGUUUUAUGGUGUGAUUGUGCUUUGUUUCUGCGUCUACAACAGACUGCAGGUUGAACACUGAUUGUUCACUGUUACAUUUUAGUUGAAUUUAAGUGUCUGGCAUUCUGCCACCGUCUCUCCAUUGCAUUCCAAGACAGCCGUGCCGCGACUGGCUUUCAUAAGGGCAAAUUGUUACAUUAAUUGUUACAUUUUUACAUUUUAAUUCAAAAUCUGCUUUAGGCCAGGUCUCAACUGCUACAAUAAGGCUGUUGUUGUUGUUUUUUGUUAUCCUCUGGCUGUUGUUGAGUUAUAAAAAGUUGAAAACAGUGUGUUUCUGUUUUCAGUAUGAUGCAGCCAGGAUAGGACUAAUAUGCAUUUUGUCCGUGAAGAGGUCAAGAUGGCCCAUUUGUGUCUCACCCACACCCUCUGUCUUUGCCAGAUCAAUUAGAACUGAAAACUAUUUAUCAUACAGAAAGAACCCGAUUGUUUCCCACCAGGAAGUAACUUUCUGUCUGCUACCCCCUGGGGUCUUAGACUAGGCUAAGACAAUAAAAUGUUGAUUAAACUGAAUUGAUGUUAGAAUUUCACAUUUACACGAUAGAACAUUUUGAUCUGUGACCAAAAAUGACCCAAAAGGGGUGGAGUUUAGAGCCAUAUCCUUCCUCAUUGGACAGAAAAGAUGCGCUUGGCAUGUUCCCAUGCCAAUAACAGACCAAUGAGAAUUGAUUUGAAUGCACCAGGUGAAAAGGAACCGCCCCAAGGCGCAGGGGAUAAAUGUGUGUGAAUAAGGAAUAAUCAAGACUGGUCUCAUGCAACUCCAUCAUGGGGGAAGCAUGGAUCGGUCCACUGUCAGCUGCAAUGUUGUCAUGUUGUUUGUGUCAUACUGUCUUUGUCUUAUCAUCUUCAUCAUUCUGUUUCAUUAAACCUUUUCUUAAUUCUCAAUUGGACCCGAGCCUCCUUCCUCAGUGAUCCAACGAACACAAAGUUAGAAAAUUCUAACACUGUCCUGCAUAAUUAACAUCGCUAAAGCAGAAGAAGCGACCACGGAAGACAGAUUUACAAGACUAUCGUCCACUUGAGAGUCAGAGGCAGAGGCACUAGCACCAGCGGUGGUUGUGCUGCAUCUUGGGGUGGCAGAGACAAAGGUGUGCUAGAUGUUGUGAAUCUGAGCUCUCCUUCAUCUCCUGGUUGCAGAUGACUCUGAGAC